CUCGUUGUUCUCUACUGUAUUGAAGAUAAUUUCAAUAAAACGGAAACUUAAGUGAAUAUGAUCUAUAAUGAUCAAGAUAAUUGCGGUUCUUUAUAAUAGACCUAAGACGACAAAGAUAUCUUUAAAGAUUUGAGUUCUAUUUCUGUUAAUAUUCUGUAUGAGUUUUUUGCCGAUUCCCGCCGUGCCCUUUCUUUUGAUGAAAGAACCCGCCCUUUCCAGACGGCCAUAGCAAUUCCGAUGGUGAUUCCGUUAUGACGUCGUUGAAACAACGUUAAAUUACGGGAAACAAUAGACGACGUUUACGUCUGUUAUUACCUCCCCUGAAACUGUUGGAUAUGCCCUUAA
RNAcentral lists this long non-coding RNA (345 nucleotides) under Mytilus galloprovincialis (Mediterranean mussel). The record is from RNAcentral. Lineage: Eukaryota; Metazoa; Mollusca; Bivalvia; Mytilida; Mytilidae.